RNAcentral lists this ribosomal RNA (497 nucleotides) under uncultured bacterium. RNAcentral describes it as "partial 16S ribosomal RNA". It matches the Rfam family "Bacterial small subunit ribosomal RNA", at positions 28 to 507 of the family's 1533-position model. The record is from RNAcentral.
GACGAACGCUGGCGGCGUGCCUAAUACAUGCAAGUAGAACGCUGAAGAGAGGAGCUUACUCUUCUUGGAUGAGUUGCGAACGGGUGAGUAACGCGUAGGUAACCUGCCUUGUAGCGGGGGAUAACUAUUGGAAACGAUAGCUAAUACCGCAUAACAAUGGAUGACACAUGUCAUUUAUUUGAAAGGGGCAAUUGCUCCACUACAAGAUGGACCUGCGUUUUAUUAGCUAGUAGGUGAGGUAAUGGCUCACGUAGGCGACGAUACAUAGCCGACCUGAGAGGGUGGUCAGCCACCCUGGGACUGAGACACGCCCCAGACUCCUACGGGAGGCAGCAGUAGGGAAUCUUCGGCAAUGGGGGCAACCCUGACCGAGCAACGCCGCGUGAGUGAAGAAGGUUUUCGGAUCGUAAAGCUCUGUUGUAAGUCAAGAACGGGUGUGAGAGUGGAAAGUUCACACUGUGACGGUAGCUUACCAGAAAGGGACGGCUAACUACGUG